CUGUUAGUCCCGCGAGCCAAUCCCUAACAUAACAGCCGCCCCGCAUAUCGUCGCACCUACUAUUAGGCACACCGAUCUCCAUUCCGACAAUCUCCUCGUAGAUAACGGUCACAUCACCAGCGCCAUUGACUGGCAGGGAGCUUGGGCUGGGCCUCUGUUUCUUGAAAGGCGUCAUCCACGACCCAUUGAUCAUCAUGGCGAUGUCAUUUUGAAGCCCCCAGUGAAUUUUAAGGAUCUUGUGCCAAAUGAAAAGUCCCGGUUAAGGAGACAGAUCACUAGUUCUAUUGUUCUUUAUCUUUAUGAACAACAAACAGCAAAGAUCAACCCUCGUUUGGACCGAAUCCUUCGCUCAAAGCUAGGGAGGAUAAGAUGUGAUCCUAUAACCUUCGCCAGCAACACAUGGGAUGACGAUUUACUUCCUCUAAGAGAGUCACUAAUUAACGUAGAAAGGCUUUAACUUUGUUUGUCCGAUUCACUUUAUCGAGGAGGAGCUUCAAGCACACACAAAGUAUGGUAAAGGAUGGAAUGAUGUCCAAGACUUUUGGAGGUUUGUACAAGUAAUUGUGACUCGUGAUGGCUGGACCACACACGAUGAUGCAGCGACUCUCUUUUCAGAACUCAGGGACUUCGGUUUGAGAAAUAUGGGGA
RNAcentral lists this small RNA (648 nucleotides) under Histoplasma capsulatum var. duboisii H88. Its description in RNAcentral is "Histoplasma capsulatum H88 hypothetical RNA". The record is from RNAcentral. Lineage: Eukaryota; Fungi; Ascomycota; Eurotiomycetes; Onygenales; Ajellomycetaceae.